RNAcentral lists this transfer RNA (74 nucleotides) under Streptococcus parasanguinis SK236. Its description in RNAcentral is "tRNA-Ala". It matches the Rfam family "tRNA". From Rfam's summary of the family: Transfer RNA (tRNA) molecules are approximately 80 nucleotides in length. Lineage: Bacteria; Bacillati; Bacillota; Bacilli; Lactobacillales; Streptococcaceae. The record is from RNAcentral.
GGGGCCUUAGCUCAGCUGGGAGAGCGCCUGCUUUGCACGCAGGAGGUCAGCGGUUCGAUCCCGACUAGGCUCCA